Long non-coding RNA from Eurytemora carolleeae, 1747 nucleotides. RefSeq lists it as uncharacterized. The transcript is spliced from 5 exons. Lineage: Eukaryota; Metazoa; Arthropoda; Copepoda; Calanoida; Temoridae. The record is from RefSeq and is a predicted model, not a curated record.
UAAUAGAGCGGACCUAAAGUCACCCCUCUUAUUUAACAAUUUAUAUAAAUCUGCUAAGGUGGAACCCAAUGAAAUCCUUGAAUUGAGGAGGGACAUUGACUGGGAACUAGAAAACCCUGGGUUCUCAGGGAAGUCAUUCAAGCCCUGAACUCCGAUGGUUGCAUAGCUGGUAAAAUCUUUGCAGAUGAGGAGGAGGAAGUGGCGGAGCUGAUUAGAACUAAAGUCGGGGAAUGGAGGUAAAAUUGGAACCUCUGAUGAGGUUGACUCUGUCUUGCGAGCCCACCGACUUCUUCAAGGAAGACAUGUCAAUUUGGAAUUUCAUGAAGGAGGGAGUAAUUGUUCAAAUAGAAAUUCCCAAAGAAGCUAAAAGAACCAUGUGAGAAAGGAAAGGGAAAACUCAUUAAGUGUAUUUUGUCCUGGGAGGAGCUUGGGAAAGAGAAUGCAAAAUUCAAGGAAGAGGUCAAAGAAAAGAAAGAAGACUAUGAAGAACAUGGGUUCAACUGCUUAAGAAACAGGAUGACAAAAUUAAGGAAGAGAUUGAAGAAGAGGAUGAAGAGGAGAAUGAAGAGGGUAAAGAAAGAAUUCAACAGCUCGAGGACAAAAUUGCAGCUAAGAAAUUGAAAUUCUGACGAACCAAUUCUUUGUCUCCAUGUGGAAUAUUUUUUUUGAAAGAUUAACUAAUAAUAAAUUUUUGGUUUUUGUUAUUUGUGUAGUUUAUUUCGAAUAAAAAUGUGUACAAAUGAAGUAAAAGAUGGGCGCGAAGCCUCUAAAAGCCUAGAAAGAAUUUCUAGUAUAUAUAUGUACAGUACAUAUAAACUAGUACUCCAUGUUUGUAUGUCUUUAGACCCAUGGGAACGUUCUUUGCUUGGUUUAAAAGUUCUAAAUUAAAUGAGUUGACUUUAAUAGAGGCAGGCAGGCAGCCUAUGAAAGUCAAACUCAUGAAUUUUCUUUAAAUUUUGUACACAGGUUCCAAAGCUAGUUUUACAAUUUUUCUGAUAAAUUUGAUACCAUUUACUCCAGGAUUAUAAACCAUGAAUCAAACCUCUGAAGAAUUUAUUGUACCUUUUGAUUGCAAUUUUUUGUUUAUAGUUCCAAUAGGAUUUUAUUUUUCCGAGGAAAAAACAGAGGACUGGUUACCAGAUUCGUAACGUUGCACCAGUCAGGGAAGAUAUAUUACAUUUGGCAAUUGUUCUUAUUUUAACGAUGAAAAUAAUACUUGCUUAGAUUUUUAAUUUACAAACAAAUUUAAAUAUCGCGUUUCUGUAAGCACUAUCAUCGAAAGAAGACAAGUGUCCAACAUAAAAAUUAUCUCAAGCUCUGGACGGCUUGUACUGAUGCAUAUAUAUUUCCCGCAGUAAAACCUGAUGCAUGGCUUGAUAAAACACAGAUUUCUCCAUCAAUGUAUUUCUGUUACUUAUUAGAUACUGAGUGUCCAGUGCGCAUGCUUCAAACUAUAUGAUCGCCACAGACUACUGUGACUAAAAUUUGCGAUUUUUUUCUCCACAAAUACCUGAACAAAGACCAUAAAAAAGGGGUAGCAGAGCCCUUUUUUUAAUUUUUGGUUUAAAAGUACCCUUUUUAAUCGACUUUUCUGAUAAAUUUCCGAUUUUUACUCCAAAACCCUGGGAGCAACUCCAAAACCCUGAGAGCAGCCCAAAACCCUGAGAGCAGCCACUCCUCCCUUGUUGAGAAAUACAAUGCAAAAUUCAAUGUGAAACUUUUAAUGUUAAAAUCUUAAAAAUUUAUC